This 64-nucleotide transfer RNA is filed under the name Aphrodita australis. Its description in RNAcentral is "tRNA-His". Lineage: Eukaryota; Metazoa; Annelida; Polychaeta; Phyllodocida; Aphroditidae. The record is from RNAcentral.
GUUAAAAUAAUUUAAAAAAAAUACUGAAUUGUGGUUUCAGAAAUAUACACUAGUAUUUUUAACA